This 253-nucleotide ribosomal RNA is filed under the name uncultured bacterium. RNAcentral's name for it is "partial 16S ribosomal RNA". It matches the Rfam family "Bacterial small subunit ribosomal RNA", at positions 524 to 776 of the family's 1533-position model. The record is from RNAcentral.
UACGGAGGGUGCAAGCGUUAAUCGGAAUUACUGGGCGUAAAGCGUGCGCAGGCGGUUUGUUAAGUCCGCUGUGAAAUCCCCGAGCUCAACUUGGGAAUUGCAGUGGAUACUGGCAAGCUGGAGUAUGGUAGAGGAAGGUGGAAUUCCCGGUGUAGCAGUGAAAUGCGUAGAGAUCGGGAGGAACACCAGUGGCGAAGGCGGCUCACUGGCUCGUAACUGACGCUCAGGCGCGACAGCGUGGGGAUCAAACAGG